This 4100-nucleotide long non-coding RNA is filed under the name Brachypodium distachyon (stiff brome). Its description in RNAcentral is "long non-coding RNA (BDIS_LNC005121)". The record is from RNAcentral. Lineage: Eukaryota; Viridiplantae; Streptophyta; Magnoliopsida; Poales; Poaceae.
CAGCAUCUUCUCUUCUCGCCUCCACAACUCCACCACUCGCUGCUGCUUCGACCCAACACCGCGUGGGCGCGAGCAAGCCGCCGCCGCGCCUCUCUCUCUCUCCCCCCUCCCUCGCUCCCUCCCUCUCUCUCUGUACGAAGCUUCUGGGCGACGAAGAACAAGAGGAGGGAGGGAGGAUUUGUGGGCGAUUUCUUCCGAUCGAACGUGGCUAAUCUAUCCCCUUGCUUUGAUUUGUUUCCAUGUGGAUUCAGGGGCUCUAAUUCCCGUUGUUUUUGUGGCCUCUUUCUCUUUUUUCAGAAGAAACAUCUAGGCGGCGAAGAACUAAAGCAGUGGCUUGAGGAUUUGAGGGCAUUUCUUUCCAUCGAAGGUGAUUACUCUCUUCCCAUUGCUUGAUUUUUGCUUCUACGUUGAUACGGCGAGUCAUUCCCGUUGAUUUUUCUGGGAGUUUGCGCGCAUAUUGCAGAUGUGCUCGUGGGGGGUAUUCUUAGUUGAUUUUAGCACUGAUUAGGCUCUACCCCUUGAAUUCACUUUGUUCCAGGAGGAUUCGGCGCCAUGUAUUUGUUGAUUGUUUUGGCCCUUUUUCAUGGGUUUUUAGGGUGCAUUUUUUGAUGUGGUAGUGCUGAAGGUGGAAUAUUUGGUGGAUUUUGUCGAUUUUGGUACAUGUGUGUAUGCAUUUUUGUGGUGGGGGGGCGGGGGGGGGGAGGGGUGGCUUCCUUUUCAUGAUGUUGUAGAGAUGGGUAUGUGUGAGAUUUCUAGUUGAUUUUUGGUUGGGCAAAGGAGUUAUAUGGGUGUUAAAUUUCAUGUUAAUUUGUAUUUGUUGCAUGGUGCAUAUAGGAUAUAUCAUCAGUAGUUUUCUCUUUUUGAGGAAAUAAUAUAUCAUGUGUAAUUGGUAUCAUGCUUAGUUAUGUUAGUCAGGUGCUUCAUUGUGCUGGAAUCAGAUGGGCACUGAUGUGUUAAAAUACAUGUCACUUUGUGAUAUCGAUUCAGUUAAGUCACAAUAAUUACUGUUGUAGCAAAAUAAAAUCCUUAUAUGGCCGGACCGUACAUUCUACGUGGCGACGACUGAGUCAACAUUUCCUAAGCGUGAGUCAAGACGCCCACGUGACGCAGUCAAUCCUACGUGGCAAAGGAAGACAAGUCAACAAGUCAAGCGUCUCGUGCCAUGGUCAAAGGAUGGAAUGAGCUAGAGUAGGGGGCAAGAAAGGUGUGGGGAUGAGGCUUUUGGUCCAUGGUGGACCAUGGACCAACCCUCAUUUUUGCCCUCAUGGUGCACACAAAAGUUAUAGACCAAGGAGCUAGUUUUACCAUUUUACCCCUACUUUUCUCUCUCCGUCAAGGGUAGCCUUGGUCUUUUGUCAUAGACCCCUAGGCUAUAAAUACCCCUCAUGGGGACAUGUACCAUUCACUCUCACUUGAAUAAACUCAAGGGGAGGGGGCUAGAGUGUUCCCUCUAAGGUUCGCUCUCGCGCGCCGCUCUCGACUGAAAGUCGAUCGGCCCCGAGGAAACCUUUUAGGGGACUCUAGUUUCCAGAAUCUCUCGCUAAAAGGUGUCUUGGGAAGAUCUGCUCGGCCCAAGCCCUUGGCUAACAACCCCCUCGGAGCCUUUCUUAACAUAGGAUUAAGUCGCACCCGCAGGGUUGACCGAAUCUAUUCAAAAAAUAUCGGCGUGUCAACUUGUCCAAGUGUACGGUGACCUUCGCUAUAAGGCCAGCGUACAUGCCCUAGUUUUAUACCUACAGUCGUGCCAUCGAGCAUUGGAACCCCUUACUCUAAUUGUUGUCAAGAACAACAAUAGUGGCGCCGACCGUGGGAACCCUCGCCGCAAUUGAAGAUUUAAUGGCCGAUGAAGGCUACUUCAUCGGGUCCCCAACUUGCCGCGAAGUUUACAUGGUUGCAAACGAAGAAAGCAAGUGCCUCGGGGCUCCUAAGGAAGAAGAAAUCCUCACCAAUCCGGAGGUCCCCGCAAGCAUGGUCGCCACGACGGAAGUUGCGAUCGCCCUUUCGCUACCAGCCGUCUCGGAACGAACCGAGGUGCUCGAAACCGUCGUAGGUGGUCCCUCGACACUCACCAACGUGGUGGCAAGGAUCGGCGAGCUCCCUACGGUUGCCGCCCCCACAGGAGAUACGGAACUCGGCAUGCCUUGCUCGAUGGGCUUCACGCCACCUUCCCUACAACCGGUAGUAACUUUGCCCUCGGAACCUACAAGAGGAAACAAUGUGGCGUCAGGAGGAUCCGCGUCGGAAAACCAAGGAGUUCCAGCCUACGACCCCUCCAACCCGGGAUUGCCUCCGCUGGCGCUCGCCGCGAUCGCCCAUGGAGCUAAUUGUUGUCGAGAACAACAACAAUUACCAAUGUAUAUAUUGAACACGUCGCUCGUUUGAUGGAGGCACUCAAGGUUGUGUUUUUUUAGUACUAUAUGAUUCAAAGAAAUACAUCGAAUAUUAUGAGCUUGUAUUAAUCGACACAUUUAAAUGAGAUAACAACAUUUUAGUUCCCAUUUUGAAUGCAACUCUUAUGCACUAUAUGGGGUUGGUAACUUCAUACACUGCGGCCUGGUAAUUCUGCCCAUGGAUAGUUGGUAACUAUAUGCUCCGUGUAUUGGUAAGUUCAUGCACUGUAUGUUGGUACUUUGUGUAUCAUGUAGGUUUGUACCCUGUGGGGGUAGUAUUUCUCUCCCCAUCUCAUUGGAUGCAGCUUUUGUGCAAUAUGUGUGGUUGGUAACUUUAUGCAUUACUAGUUGGUAACUGUAUGCCGGUUGGUAAAUUCAUGCGCCUUGCAUGUUGGUACCUUUUCCCUGUAAGGUUGGUAAUUCUCUCCCCUCCUAUUCAAUUCAACUUUUUUACACUGUGUGUAGUUGGUAACCUUAUGCAAUGUGGUUUGUUAACUUUAUCCAUAACUGGUUAGUAACUACAUUCGCUGUGUUUUGGUAAGUUCAUGCAUUGCAUGUUGGUAACAUUUGGGUUUGCACCCCUAUGAGGGCCGGUGGCAAUCCCACCCCCUCGCACGCAUCAAUGCAACUUUUGUGCAUUUUGUGGGGUUGGUAACUUUAUGCAUUGUGGAUUAUUAACUUAAUUUAUCCUUAGCUGGUUGGUAACUAUAUGCACUAUGUGUUGGUAACUUCAUGAAUUGUAGGUUGCUAACUUGUGUACCAUGUAGGAGCAGUAUUUCUCCCCUCUCAUUGAAUGCAACAUGUUUUCUGCAGUGUGUGUGUGUCUCUAUGUGUGUGUGUGUGGGGGGGUAAAUUUAUGCCCUAUGUAUUAUCCUUAGAUUGGUCAUAUAUGCAUUGAGUGUUGGUAAUUUCAUGCAUUGUAUGUUGGUAGCUUGUGUAUACCCCUGUAGGGGUGGUAAUUCUCCCUCAACCACCCGCCCCCUCUCAAUGAAUGCAACUAGCUUUAUUUCCUUAUGUGGGGUUGGUAACUUUAUGCGCUAUGUACCAGUAACUUUAUACGUCAUGGGUUGGUCACUUUAUGCGUUGUGUGUUGGUAACUUUAUCCAUGGUUGGUAGCCUUUUGCAUUAUGUAUUGAUAAGUUUAUGCAUUUUAUGUUGCUAACUUUUGUACCAUGUAGGUUUUUUCCCUGCAUUUGUUUGUUGGUAAAGAUUGAGUAGGAUGCGUUUUGAGUCUCCUAAAUUUGAACAAUGGGGAGGUUUCCUCUCAGAUAUUAAAGUGGGUAACUUUGUGUCGAUAGAUAUGAUGGUUUGUGUUCUAGGUAGGUAACUUCAGACAAGUUUUGGGAAGUGACCUCCAUGGAGAUCUGCGCCGUCAUGAGGACGAGGAAGAAGCGAACGAGGACAAAGAGAACGAAAAAGAAGCAGGGGGUUGGUAAUAUGCGCUUUGGGCUUGAGCCAACAUGCUGGCUUGGUCUGGCCCUGGGAUCUACAGACUAGCUUGUACAAAAGGUUUACUGUUAGAACCAACAACUAACUACUUGUGAAUAACUCUCAUAUUAUUGGUUGAUAACUUCUCAGAUAACAAAAGGUGUCCAAACAUCUCAAAUUGAGAUCUAGUUUAUAUAGCAGAUAACUACUUAUGAAUGGGUAUAGUAACUCAUGUAUCAUUGCAUGGUAACUUUUGAGUUCGAAAAAAUAUAUCUUGAAACA